This 429-nucleotide ribosomal RNA is filed under the name bacterium. Its description in RNAcentral is "partial 16S ribosomal RNA". It matches the Rfam family "Bacterial small subunit ribosomal RNA", at positions 355 to 776 of the family's 1533-position model. The record is from RNAcentral.
UAGGGAAUCUUCCACAAUGGACGCAAGUCUGAUGGAGCAACGCCGCGUGAGUGAAGAAGGUUUUCGGAUCGUAAAGCUCUGUUGUUGGUGAAGAAGGAUAGAGGUAGUAACUGGCCUUUAUUUGACGGUAAUCAACCAGAAAGUCACGGCUAACUACGUGCCAGCAGCCGCGGUAAUACGUAGGGGGCAAGCGUCGUCCGGAUUUAUUGGGCGUAAAGCGAGCGCAGGCGGAAGAAUAAGUAUGCAGUGAAAGCCCUCGGCUGAACCGAGGAACUGCUUCGGUAACUGUUUGUCUUGAGUGCAGAAGAGGGGAGUGGAAUUCCAUGUGUGGCGGUGGAAUGCGUAGAUAUAUGGAAGAACACCAGUGGCGGAGGAGACUCUCUGGUCUGCAACUGACGCUGAGGCUCGUAAGCAUGGGUAGCGAACAAG